UUAAGCAUAUCAAUAAGCGGAGGAAAAGAAACCAACAGGGAUUACCUCAGUAACGGCGAGUGAAGCGGUAACAGCUCAAAUUUGAAAUCUGGCCUCACGGUCCGAGUUGUAAUUUGUAGAGGAUGCUUCGAGCAUGGUCUGGCCUAAGUUCCUUGGAACAGGACGUCAUAGAGGGUGAGAAUCCCGUAUGCGGCCAGGUGCCUACGCUCAUGUGAAGCUCCUUCGACGAGUCGAGUUGUUUGGGAAUGCAGCUCAAAAUGGGUGGUAAAUUUCAUCUAAAGCUAAAUAUUGGCCAGAGACCGAUAGCGCACAAGUAGAGUGAUCGAAAGAUGAAAAGCACUUUGGAAAGAGAGUUAAACAGUACGUGAAAUUGUUGAAAGGGAAGCGCUUGCAACCAGACUUGCGCGCGGCCGAUCAUCCGGUGUUCUCACCGGUGCACUCGGCCGUGCUCAGGCCAGCAUCGGUUUUGGCGGCUGGAUAAAGGCCCUAGGAAUGUGGCUCCUCUCGGGGAGUGUUAUAGCCUAGGGUGCAAUGCAGCCUGCUGGGACCGAGGACCGCGCUUCGGCUAGGAUGCUGGCGUAAUGGUUGUAAGCGGCCCGUCUUGAAACACGGACCAAGGAGUCUAACAUCUAUGCGAGUGUUUGGGUGUCAAACCCAUACGCGUAAUGAAAGUGAACGGAGGUGAGAACCCUUAAGGGUGCAUCAUCGACCGAUCCUGAUGUCUUCGGAAGGAUUUGAGUAAGAGCAUAGCUGUUGGGACCCGAAAGAUGGUGAACUAUGCCUGAAUAGGGUGAAGCCAGAGGAAACUCUGGUGGAGGCUCGCAGCGGUUCUGACGUGCAAAUCGAUCGUCAAAUUUGGGUAUAGGGGCGAAAGACUAAUCGAACCAUCUAGUAGCUGGUUCCUGCCGAAGUU
Molecule: ribosomal RNA, 913 nt
Filed under: Malbranchea zuffiana
Lineage: Eukaryota; Fungi; Ascomycota; Eurotiomycetes; Onygenales; Malbrancheaceae
Also listed under: 1 other name
Description: LSU rRNA
Rfam family: Eukaryotic large subunit ribosomal RNA
Source: RNAcentral